This 113-nucleotide ribosomal RNA is filed under the name Staphylococcus aureus. Lineage: Bacteria; Bacillati; Bacillota; Bacilli; Caryophanales; Staphylococcaceae. The record is from RNAcentral.
UGGUGACUAUAGCAAGGAGGUCACACCUGUUCCCAUGUCGAACACAGAAGUUAAGCUCCUUAGCGUCGAUGGUAGUCGAACUUACGUUCCGCUAGAGUAGAACGUUGCCAGGC